Molecule: RNA transcript, 4919 nt
Organism: Mauremys reevesii (Reeves's turtle)
Lineage: Eukaryota; Metazoa; Chordata; Testudines; Geoemydidae
Gene: STK24
Gene name: serine/threonine kinase 24
Exons: 12
Source: RefSeq, a predicted model, not a curated record
AAAUAGCGCCGCGGGGCCCCGGCGCGCAGACUCUCCGGACCGCCGCCACUCGCGCGGGGGGGGGCCCCGAUGAGCUGAUUCCCGUCGCCGGAGCAGCCUGAGAAGAGCCGACCCCGGUGUAGCGCGCAUCGCCGCCGCCGCCAUGGCUCACUCCCCGGUGCAGCCGGGCCUGCGGGAGAUGCCGAAUCUACAAGCAGAUCCAGAAGAACUGUUUACAAAACUGGAGAAAAUUGGCAAGGGCUCUUUUGGUGAGGUUUUUAAAGGAAUUGACAAUCAAACUCAGAAAGUGGUUGCUAUAAAAAUUAUUGAUCUAGAAGAAGCGGAAGAUGAAAUAGAGGACAUCCAACAAGAAAUCACAGUGCUGAGUCAGUGUGACAGUCCUUAUGUAACCAAAUAUUAUGGAUCUUAUUUAAAGGAUACAAAAUUAUGGAUAAUAAUGGAAUACCUUGGUGGAGGCUCUGCUCUUGAUUUAUUAGAGCCUGGCUGUCUUGAUGAAAUCCAGAUUGCUACAAUAUUGAGAGAGAUACUUAAAGGACUCGAUUACUUGCAUUCAGAAAAGAAAAUCCACAGAGAUAUUAAGGCUGCCAAUGUUUUGCUAUCUGAACAAGGAGAGGUAAAAUUAGCAGACUUUGGAGUAGCAGGACAACUAACAGAUACACAGAUAAAGAGAAAUACUUUUGUGGGAACUCCAUUCUGGAUGGCACCUGAAGUAAUAAAACAGUCAGCAUAUGACUCAAAGGCAGAUAUCUGGUCAUUAGGCAUAACAGCCAUAGAACUUGCAAAAGGAAAGCCACCGCAUUCAGCAUUGCAUCCGAUGAAGGUUUUAUUCCUCAUCCCAAAGAACAAUCCACCGACACUGGAAGGAAACUACAGUAAACCCCUCAAAGAAUUUGUUGAGGCCUGCUUGAACAAGGAGCCAAGCUUCAGACCAACAGCAAAGGAGCUCUUGAAACACAAAUUCAUAAUACGAAAUGCAAAGAAAACAUCCUACCUGGCAGAACUCAUUGAUAGGCACAAGAGGUGGAAGUCUGAACAGAGCCAUGAUGACUCCAGUUCUGAAGAAUCGGAUGCUGAAACUGAUGGCCAGGCCACAGGUGGUCGUGAUUCGGGGGACUGGAUCUUUACAAUCAGAGAAAAAGACCCCAAGAAUGUAGAGAAUGGAGCAGCCCAGCCACAGGAACUAGAAAGCAAUAAGGAAAAAGAGACCCCCAGGCGUCCUUUGUCUCAGUGUUUAUCUGCAAUUAUAUCUCCUUUAUUUGUGGAGUUGAAAGAGAAAAGUCAGGCAUAUGGUGACAACAUGGGGUCCAUAGAAGAACUGAGAGAAGCUAUUUAUUUAGCUGAGGAGGCUUGUCCAGGCAUUUCAGAUACCAUGGUAUCGCAGCUUGUACAGAGGCUUCAGAGACCAAUUUUCCAGUUUUUCAAGGUCAUUUGAAUUCUAGUCCUGCCCUUCAAAAUGCUUGCAAUCCCUCCCAAGUUGGUGUCAUCCACAAAUUUUAUAAGCAUACUCUUCACUUCAUUAUCCAAAUCAUUAGUGAUGAUCCAAGUUACUAAUUUCAGAUAUUCCUCUAUAACACAGCUAUGAAGAUAUUCACUAACUGGAGGAAGUACUUCGUCUCACUGAAGUAUUGGUUUUGAAUUUUUCAAAGUCAAGAGGCCACCCUGUGGCGUCUGCAUUGAGGAAGUGCUCUUUAAUGUUGAUCUACCGCUCUUCAGUGAAAGGACAUUCCUGAAUGUGCAACAGCAAAAAUGAAGUCCCUCAGAUGGGGUGUUGUUUUUCAGCUACUUAAACCUAUAGUUUUUUUUUUUUAACCGUAAUGCACAUAUUUAAGGGAGAAGUGUCUUUUUAUGACAUCUGCAAUGUAUAUUUACGUUUGUGAUAAGGACACUGAAGAUAUUGUGAAAUCUCAGGUAUUUUGCUUUAAGAUAACUCCUUUGGGAGAUAGAAAAGCAUUCUGUUGGAUUUGUGUAUAGAUUUGUAUAUAGUGUCAUUUUUGUACUGCAACCCUUUAAACCUGUAUAAGGAGUCACUGUGUACAAAAUGACCAAAUCUUCUGUAGAUAAUGUUAGUGAGGUAAAUAUUUGACAGGCCAUAAGUAUUGCGUUGCCUUUAUUACAUGUAAAAUUUCAAUUAUGUGACAAGUGAUUCUGGUUUGAUUUUGUGUUUGAAGGGUUCACCAUGAAAAGAUAGUAAAUGCCCUAUUAUGGAAACCUGCUAUUUGUACCUCAGUGUAUCCAAAUUUCCUCAUUUGUCCUACAUCCCUCUCUUUUUUACACUUGGAAGCUGGCUUUCUGAUUAUGGUACUACUUUUGGUUUAUUUAAAUUUAACACAUCUUGUCUCAUAUAAAGCUUUAAAUUGUUUAUUUUUUCUCUACAGAAUUUUUUCACUUUUACAUUUCAGUUUUAAAUUGUGCCCGUGUAGAUUCUGAAUCAUAUGUAUUGUCCAGGUUUAGUAAUAUAAGCUUGUUGUGAAAUCUAAAUACCUUUUACAUCUAUACAUAUCUGAAUGCUUACAUAAAUAAAUUUUAUAACCUACAUAUAUUUUGAAAUCUUGAAAUAUCUUACAACCUUGGCUUUCAGAGAGUGGAAAAUGUUUCAUAGAGAGGGUUGCUGUUUUUAAUUAUAAAAUGAAAUUGUCUCGGGGAGUAAAAGAAAAAAAUUGAAUUUAUCAAUAUAUAGAAAGGCCCAAUCCUGCAGUCCUUAAGUCUAUGCAUCUCCUAUUGAAACUGAUGGGAGUUACAGACAUCAGUAUUGCAGAAUUGGGCCCAAAGUACAGAGUAUUCCAUAAUCUUUAUCACAAAAAAGUACAUGAAUUUUGAUUGCCUGAAAUGAAAAUCUCCAGCAUUGCUGUGGUUAUUUCUGAAUAACUUUAUUAAGUGUUUCAGUUUCCUUGGAAAUGGUAGUUGUAUGUAUUUUGUGAAGUGACAUCUCUUCAUGGUAUUUAUUAUAUAGUUUAGUAUAGUUUGCUUUACCAAGGGCAGAAAUAAGUAAUUUGUUUCCUUGGUAGGCAGGAGAGGGAGGAUUUUGUCUUGUUUCACUCCACAAAUUGAUAAUUACACGUCAGGUGUGUAUUUUUGAUGUAAUGUAAUUGUCAGAUCUCUAGUUAUCUGUUCUCACAUUAUUUUAGAACUAGAAAACAAAUGACUCUUGGAAGUGAAUGAAAUAAAUGAAUAACGUAGAUACACUAUACCCACCAGCCUGUAGCAUAAUUUUGUCAGGGAAAGGCUGAUUGUUAAAUGGUGUGGUUCCUAUAUAAUGAACUAAAGUGCUGUUUUUCAACCCUCUCAACUUAAUUAUCAUUUUAAUGAUUAUGUACUAUUUUGUGUGAUCUUGAAGCUAUGAAGACAUAGUUUAAUCUAGAGGAAAUAAACACACAACUGCCCCUUUACUAACUAGAAAUGUGCAUUUGAAUCUUGAUGCAGUGAAAUGAGGAAUAUACCCUUUUCAAUGCAGAAAUCAACAGAGAGUCAGUUCUACCACUUGAGAAUAUGUAGUGGUAGUGUUGUGGGUGGCAUAUAGAAAUAAUCAGAGAUAAAUUGAAGUUUAAAUGGAACCACUGAAACCUUCCCAGUGUCAUCUGUUACUAUAAGAAUGUCUUUAAAUUGAAAUGAGCUAGUUGGGAAAGAGCACACUUUGAAGAUUUAGAGGCAAGUCAGAUUUACAAGACAAUAUGGAGUUUCACUUUGAAAUUUCUGAAGCAAAAGUUAGUCAGAAAAUUGUCUGGUGUUCAGAAAGUGUAAUCACUGACCUGCCCUUUUAUUUUGUUAUGAAAAACUACCCAGUUUGAGACUCAUUGAGGAUGAUUAUAACAGAUGAUGCUUGGUGAAGGCAAACUUUGAUUAAAUAACUAAACAGAUAGACACAGUUAGAAGGCCAAUUGGCCAAAAGCAGAAGACUUAAAAAGAAAAACUUAGUUAAUUUAUGGUGUAGAUAUGAGUAUUUUUAUAUAUAAUAUAAAUAUAUAUGUUAAUGCAGAUCAAUCUUCAGAUACGAUGAUUCACUGCAAAAAUCAACAUUUUGUCUGGAAUGUACAAUGACAAUCAUUUGCUGGAGAAAAAUGUUAGUUUCAGAAAUAAAUCUGUACCAGUAAUAGAAAACUUCUUUCAUUUGAGGUCAAUAUGUCUCGGAGAUAAGUAUGGCAUAAGUAGUCUCUGAGGCAAGAUACUUAAGAAAAUUUUAAUAUUAUUCUGAGAAAAUGUCUUCUGCUAAGAACUUGACAUUAUACUAUUGCACUUAAGCUAAGUUUUUCUGGUACCGGUAAAGCAGCUAUUUCAAAAUUUCCCUUGAGUAGAGUGAAGGCUCAAACCAAAUUUACCUUAGUAACAAGUAUUACGCUAGUCAUGCAGAUGUUGAACUCAGUGGACUCUUCACUUGUAAGAGGUUGCGAGACUAGGCACUAAAUAAACUGUUAAAAAACAAAAAAGUUAACCAGAAAAAUUCUUUGAAAAUGGAAAGAUGUUUUGGUUUUUUUGUGCAUCAAGUGUAUGCGUUUUUUAGUUAACCUUAAUUUCCCUUGCAGUUGCACUAUUAUAGUUAAUAAACACUGUUUAGUAGACCCUGGUGGCAUUACUAACAAAUCAUUGCACCAGGCCUCUGGUAAAAUAAUGAAACAUUUCUUCUGUUUCUCACAAUGUAAUCAAGUGCCAUUGCCUCUUGAAAGCUCCAACGGUUUGUAAAUGGUUCUUGAGUUGUACUUGUGAAGUGUCUGGUUCAGUUCUUGAUCUUUUAUAUAGCACUUCGGGUGGUUGUUUUUUUGUGAACACAUAGUACUGAUGUCUGUUUGUAACAGUUUAUUUCCUUUCUUAAAGAAACAUAGCUGACGUAUUUCAGCUACCAAUAUGGCAGUAAAGCGGGUGAUCAUCAGGAAGUGUUCAUAUGCAUAGGUAUAGUGCAAGGGUCAAUAAAGAUCAAAGAAACUUAA